RNAcentral lists this transfer RNA (72 nucleotides) under Dipodomys ordii (Ord's kangaroo rat). It matches the Rfam family "tRNA". From Rfam's summary of the family: Transfer RNA (tRNA) molecules are approximately 80 nucleotides in length. Their secondary structure includes four short double-helical elements and three loops (D, anti-codon, and T loops). Further hydrogen bonds mediate the characteristic L-shaped molecular structure. tRNAs have two regions of fundamental functional importance: the anti-codon, which is responsible for specific mRNA codon recognition, and the 3' end, to which the tRNAs corresponding amino acid is attached (by aminoacyl-tRNA synthetases). tRNAs cope with the degeneracy of the genetic code in two manners: having more than one tRNA (with a specific anti-codon) for a particular amino acid; and 'wobble' base-pairing, i.e. permitting non-standard base-pairing at the 3rd anti-codon position. The record is from Rfam by way of RNAcentral. Lineage: Eukaryota; Metazoa; Chordata; Mammalia; Rodentia; Heteromyidae.
GGGAAGGUGGCUCAGUGGUAGAGUGCUUGCCUGGCAUGCAUGAGGCCCUGGGUUCGAUUCCUUAGCAUCACA